AGAGUUUGAUCAUGGCUCAGGAUGAACGCUGGCGGCGUGCUUAACACAUGCAAGUCGAGCGAACGAAGAGGAGCUUGCUCCUCUGAGUGAGUGGCGGACGGGUGAGUAACGCGUGGGUAACCCGCCCUAUAGAGGGGGAUAACGUUUGGAAACGAACGCUAAUACCGCAUAAACUAUGGAUUACCGCAUGGUAAUUAUAGCAAAGAUUUAUCACUAUAGGAUGGACCCGCGUUGGAUUAGCUAGUUGGUGAGAUAACAGCCCACCAAGGCAACGAUCCAUAGCCGGCCUGAGAGGGUGAACGGCCACAUUGGGACUGAGACACGGCCCAAACUCCUACGGGAGGCAGCAGUGGGGAAUAUUGCACAAUGGGCGAAAGCCUGAUGCAGCGACGCCGCGUGAAGGAAGAAGGUCUUCGGAUUGUAAACUUCUAUCAGCAGGGAAGAAUAAAUGACGGUACCUGACUAAGAAGCUCCGGCUAACUACGUGCCAGCAGCCGCGGUAAUACGUAGGGAGCGAGCGUUAUCCGGAUUUACUGGGUGUAAAGGGUGCGUAGGCGGCUUGGUAAGUCAGAAGUGAAAUUUUGGGGCUCAACCCCAAAUCUGCUUCUGAAACUGCCGAGCUAGAGUAUAGGAGAGGAAAGCGGAACUCCACGUGUAGCGGUGAAAUGCGUAGAGAUGUGGAGGAACACCAGUAGCGAAGGCGGCUUUCUGGACUAUUACUGACGCUGAGGCACGAAAGCGUGGGGAGCAAACAGGAUUAGAUACCCUGGUAGUCCACGCUGUAAACGAUGAAUGCUAGGUGUCGGGCCUUACGGGGUUCGGUGCCGAAGUUAACACAUUAAGCAUUCCACCUGGAAAGUACGACCGCAAGGGUUGAAACUCAAAUGAAUUUGACGGAAUAUGAAUUUGACGGAAUCU
Molecule: ribosomal RNA, 918 nt
Filed under: uncultured bacterium
Lineage: Bacteria
Description: bacterial SSU rRNA
Rfam family: Bacterial small subunit ribosomal RNA
Source: RNAcentral